UACGGAGGGGGCUAGCGUUGUUCGGAAUUACUGGGCGUAAAGGGCGCGUAGGCGGUCGUGACAAGUCACUUGUGAAAUCUCCGGGCUUAACUCGGAACGGUCAAGUGAUACUGUCGGACUAGAGUACAGAAGGGGCAACUGGAAUUCUCGGUGUAGCGGUGAAAUGCGCAGAUAUCAGGAGGAACACCAAUGGCGAAGGCAGCUCGCUGGGACGUGACUGACGCUGAGACGCGAAAGCGUGGGGAGCAAACAGG
Molecule: ribosomal RNA, 254 nt
Filed under: uncultured bacterium
Lineage: Bacteria
Description: partial 16S ribosomal RNA
Rfam family: Bacterial small subunit ribosomal RNA
Source: RNAcentral